GGGCGGCUAGCUCAGCAGGUUAGAGCGCUUCCUUCACACGGAAGAGGUCAUAGGUUCGAGUCCUGUGCCGCCCACCA
Molecule: transfer RNA, 77 nt
Filed under: Chloroflexota bacterium
Lineage: Bacteria; Bacillati; Chloroflexota
Description: tRNA-Val
Rfam family: tRNA
About the family: Transfer RNA (tRNA) molecules are approximately 80 nucleotides in length.
Source: RNAcentral